This 89-nucleotide microRNA precursor is filed under the name Caenorhabditis japonica. RNAcentral's name for it is "mir-80 microRNA precursor family". It matches the Rfam family "mir-80 microRNA precursor family". Lineage: Eukaryota; Metazoa; Nematoda; Chromadorea; Rhabditida; Rhabditidae. The record is from Rfam by way of RNAcentral.
UCUCUGUCGCUCAGCUUUCGACAUGAUUCUGAACAAUUCCACACAUUUAUGUUGUUGAGAUCAUUAGUUGAAAGCCGAAUGAUUCGAGC